AAGAAUGGAACAACUCACUAAAAACCAAGCUGUCGCUACUUCCCAAGAAGCUGUUCAGAAUCAGAAUGAGCCGCAACUUCGGGAUGAAAAUGCUCACAAUGACAAAUCUGUCCACGGAGUGCUUAAUCCAACUUACCAAGCUGGGUUACGACGCGACGCCGUUCAACCAGAUAUUGAAGCAGAACGCAAAAAGAGAGAUGAGAUUGAGGCUGGGAAAAGUUACUGUAGCCGACGUUUUGGCGGCGCAACCUGUGACGACAAAUCUGCUCAAAUUUAUGCGCGCUUCGAUAAAAAUGAUUGGCGUAUCCAACCUGCAGAGUUUUAUCGCUUCCAUGAC
This 337-nucleotide ribosomal RNA is filed under the name uncultured prokaryote. RNAcentral's name for it is "partial 16S ribosomal RNA". The record is from RNAcentral.